This is a long non-coding RNA of Aegilops tauschii subsp. strangulata, 1853 nucleotides long. RefSeq lists it as uncharacterized. The record is from RefSeq and is a predicted model, not a curated record. NCBI's taxonomy places the organism in Eukaryota, Viridiplantae, Streptophyta, Magnoliopsida, Poales, Poaceae.
GAGUUGAGAAGUCUUGUUGUCACAUUGCAACUUAGGUGUCAAUUUAUUACCGGACUUUUGAACGAGUGAUUUUCUGGUUGUAUCUUCAAACAAGGAGGCAAAUUUAUGAUUUUCCCCAUUCCUUUAUUCGCCUCACAUUCCCAUCCGCUCCACUAGAAAGUCUAGUAGCAAUCAAUCAACCCCCUCAAGUUGCAGCUCCCAAGGCACUUCUUCUCCACCCCAUACCUCUUAGGUUCUAGUCAAUCGAUUCCCUAUCCAAACCCUCUUCCAAUCUCCAGAGUUGGAAGCAAUCGACCCCCUUCCAAAAUCCUAACUUAGAGCAGCCAUGGAUGAAGACUUGAAACUAAAGGAGGAGCAGGACCAUGCUCUGCCACCAAGGACGAGUUGGGCGGGCACCAUGAGAAUGAAGGCGUGAGAAUCUAGAGACAUUUAGGAUCUGCACCAACAAGGAAACAUGGAGGUUGGAUCGUUGAUGGAUAGACAGGUAUGCUUGAAGACCCUUUUUGCCUUUCACGACUUUUAGGCAACCACCCCUUUUACGAGGAUCUUUUCAUCCAUUAGGUUGUCAAGAGCUGGCCUUCUUCCGCUUGCGUGGAUGCUUGAGCUCAUGACUGCACGGCCAGGUCACUUCAAUUAUGACUUAUCAAUCCCCGCCACUCUUACCGACCGUUCGCAUCCCAAAAUGAACACGUUUCACUUGCCAUGCAAGGAUAUGAAGAUCACCUUGCAAGAUGUCUCAAUGCGCACUAACUUACCCAUAGUAGGGGAAGCCAUCACGCAUUAAUAUGCACCUGAUGACUCGCACACACACAUAGUAGGGGAAGUCAAAACUAUAAGGAUCCUAAAAAGACAACCAUGGAUCCACCUUGAAGUGGCUUCUUCACUUUAAGGUAUAAGGAUAUUUUCCAAAUACCGUCAGAUUUUCCUUGUCCAAUUAUUCGUGUGGAUUCUAUUUUGUGUAGAAUGUAUGUUAUGUUAUUUUUAUGCAAGAUGGACAUCAUGAAUCGUAAUGUGGACGAAGCAAAUGAUGAUCUAUUUAGUCAUUAGCUGGAGGCAUUCAUCCUGUUUUUAUUCGGUUCGGUGAUGUUUGCCAGCUCCCACGGCGACACCGUGGACAAGCGCAUAAACCGCAUAGCCAGGAUGAUCGAUGAUGUCGACCUGGAGAUGGCUCAACUCAUCUCUAUCUGAGCAAGACCUGGAGAUUGCUCGAUGUACCAUGAACUGAGCAAGGCCUGCACCAUGACAAGCAAAUACUUAUGAUUUGUGAGUCCCUCUUCUCGUGCAGGUAUGGUCAUACAAAAACUUCACUAUCGGUAAGCCGUCGAUCGAGGGAAGCUCAUAUGGCGUGAGUUGUACGAUGUAGACGAGGUAGACAGUCCCAUUCUUGGCUCCAUCUGGUGUUGCCGCUAGCCAUGCAGGAAGGGGUGCAACGCACAUAAUAGCUACCGGGUAUUCGAGAGUGAAGUUGACUACCUAGCUAUUGGUGACGUGACUUGCACAACAUACACCCAUGCGAGACUAGACUGCUGCACCACGAUGGGCCUCUCCAGCCUGUGCGUGCGAAACAAAGAAUACUGGUUGAUCGUAAAAAACUUGUUUUCAAGCACAUGCCAUUGCCCAUAAUCUUCACCCUGUCUUUAAUCUUUGGCCAUUUGAUCUUGAGGUGUGAGCAUGUACUCUAGCCACUACCUCAGUCAGACUGUGAAGGUAGGGUGUUGCCAAAUUUAUUGGCUCUCUCCAGAUCUUGGUUGUUGGAGUCAAUUAAGGGAAGAAGUUCACUAAAUCUUGUUGUGGUGAGUUCACUUAUUUUAAGUUGGUAUGUGGCAUAACUUACUUUCUCCAAUCCUCUAAAG